GGAAUAUUGCACAAUGGGGGAAACCCUGAUGCAGCGACGCCGCGCGAGUGAAGAAGUAUCUCGGUAGGUAAAGCUCUAUCAGCAGGGAAGAAAAAAAGCCUUUGGCUUUUGACGGUACCUGACUAAGAAGCCCCGGCUAACUACGUGCCAGCAGCCGCGGUAAUACGUAGGGGGCAAGCGUUAUCCGGAUUUACUGGGUGUAAAGGGAGCGUAGACGGCAGCGCAAGUCUGGAGUGAAAUGCCGGGGCUCAACCCCGGAACUGCUUUGGAAACUGUGCAGCUAGAGUGCGGGAGAGGUAAGCGGGAUUCCUAGUGUAGCGGUGAAAUGCGUAGAUAUUAGGAGAAACACCAGUGGCGAAGGCGGCUUGCUGGACCGUAACUGACGUCGAGGCUCGAAAGCGUGGGGAGCAA
RNAcentral lists this ribosomal RNA (411 nucleotides) under uncultured bacterium. RNAcentral's name for it is "bacterial SSU rRNA". It matches the Rfam family "Bacterial small subunit ribosomal RNA", at positions 358 to 771 of the family's 1533-position model. The record is from RNAcentral.